Molecule: RNA transcript, 3983 nt
Organism: Oncorhynchus tshawytscha (Chinook salmon)
Lineage: Eukaryota; Metazoa; Chordata; Actinopteri; Salmoniformes; Salmonidae
Gene name: rho GTPase-activating protein 24
Exons: 7
Source: RefSeq, a predicted model, not a curated record
AGCUACACUGUUUGUAUUCGGUCAUGUUUCCGGUCACCUUGCCCUGGUUAAAAGCAGGGGUUCGCGCUUUCCGUUUCGAGCGAAUGCGAAAGACAAAACACUGUGAAUAUUGUACUUGGUGGGACAGUGGGGGUCAUUGAAGGAACACUGAAGAGUACGACCUGAGGGAACCAACAUAAUCUAAUUGGUGAAAAAGAGAGUGGCUCAAGGGGAGACUGGGAGUGUAUUGGAAAGGGAGGGAGGUAUGGCACUGGCUGAGUGAAAACACAUUCCUGAAGCAUGUGGAUGAAUGGAUAGGACAAGGAGGGAGAGGCACGUGCAGCACGGCCACAGCUUACUCCUCUGGACAAACUAAAUAGUGCUAAACACCAUUACUGCUGGAUAACGCAGGAACACUGACUCCAUCUCCUCUGAGAGGGAUUGGAGGGAAUAAUACACUACUAUAAUAACACCUUCUAGGAGAGAUGGCAGCUAAGUGGAUUCUUUUGUCAACACAAUCCAGCCUGAAAGUAGUUCCUCUGGAUUUUUCAAUGCCAGAUUGAGUUAAGUUUAGCAGCCUAAAAAAGGACUUGAGCCCUGGGAACCGAGGCUGAGGUGAGCAUGAGAGGAGCCGAGCCACAAGUGCACUCUUUAUCUGGAUUUAGCAACAAUGUGCGGAGGACCUUUUCUGACAUUCCAAUGUUCAGUGGUGAAAGAAGGGACCUGUGUUAUCAGUAGAACACGUAGUAUUUACUGGACUCUCAAAUCUCCUGUCAAAUCAUUUUACUUAAGACUCUGAAGAGGAGACGUUAACCACCAAAAAUGAAGAGGAGAUUUUACUUUCCAAAGUUCAACAUUCUAUAUUACUUUUUGACAUUGCUCAUAUUCCUGUGGCUGUUCAAUUGAUUGGGAUGUUUGCUUCAUUCUAUGCCUCAGUGAUUGUGAGUUUUUGAUGUGUCCGGCACUUUACAAUGCCUCUUCUUGUAGAAUGAAAUUCUUUCCUUUGGAAUGCUCAUUUAUCUGAUUAGGUCACAUAGUUGAGCUCAGGGACCACUGUUGAGCAUUGACAAGGAAAGUCUGCCCCCUCAUUUCUUGAGUCAUCAGAUCAAGGAGCCUUAUCUGUUUACCUAAAGAGAGGGAGAGGAGGAGGGAGGGAGAGAAUAGACAUAACACGGAGUAACAGCCAGGAGAGAGUUUACAAAACAAAAAGAGGUAGAUAAAAGUGGGCGAGGACACGCACUGGUCUCCACAGCGCCGAGCUGUCACAAGCCAUCUGGGUCCUCUCAUUAUCCCCCAUCAAACAGCCCGACUGGCCAGAAAGAAAAGAGUGGAGGAAAAGGAGGGAGAGAUCUGGACGGUGAGAGAGACGGAGAUCUGGAAGGAGAAAGAGAGAGAGACAUUUGGAUGGUGAGAGAGAGAGAAAUAUCUGGGUGGGGAAAAAGAGAGAGAGAGAUCUGUACAGUGAGAGAGAGAGAGAGAGAGAGAGAUCUGGACAGUGAGAGAGAGAGAGAUCUGGACAGUGAGAGAGGGAGAGAGAGAGAGAGAGAGAGAUCUGGACGGUGAGAGAGAUCUGGACGGAGAAAGAACAAAUGUGAAGAGAAAAGCGAAGAUGCCGGAGAACAAGGCGACAGUGUACAGGACCAGCAGCUACCUGUCCCACUCUGCCUACAGGAAGAUCAAGCGGGUUCUGAGCUUCAGGAGGCGCGUGUUUGGACAGCGGCUGGAGGAGACGGUUCUGUAUGAGCGGCGUUACGGGGUACACAUGGCACCGCUGGUGGUGGAGCAGUGUGUGGACUUCAUCCGGGAGCGGGGUCUUCUGGAGGUGGGGCUGUUCCGCCAGCCAGGCCAGGCCACGCUGGUUAAAGAGUUGCAGGAUGCCUUCGACGCUGGGGAGAAGCCCUCCUUUGACAGCAGCACAGACGUGCACACCGUGGCGUCGCUCCUGAAGCUGUAUCUGCGGGAGCUGCCAGAGCCACUGGUGCCCUUCUCCAGAUACCAGGACUUCCUGGUGUGUGGCAAGAAGAUCUCCUCUGAGAGGAAGCAGAGUUUGACAGAACUACGGCAUCUUCUUCAUCAACUUCCAGUGGCUAACUUCAACCUGCUCAACUACAUCUGCCAGUUUUUGAACGAAGUCCAGUCCUAUUCUAACAGCAACAAGAUGAGCACCCAGAACCUGGCUACUGUUUUUGGCCCAAACAUCCUACGACCCAAAGCUGAAGAUCCAGAGAGUAUCAUUGGAGGGGCAGCCGUGGUGCAGCAGCUUAUGUCCGAGCUGAUUAGGGAACACCUGUGCCUUUUCUCCAGGGAGGGGGGAGACAUAGAGGCCCCUGGCUCUUCACGCCCUGACUCUUACCCAUGUCAGAGAUGGAAAGGAGACCCAUUCGAGGGGGCGCACAUCCAGCCAACAGCCCAAACCCAGUCGCAUGAUUACAGUCUGGGCAUAACAGCCGAGCACCUCCCCCAACAACAGCUAGCACACCAUCCUUCCCCUUGCUCCCGCCAGCUCUCCCUGCCUCUGAUCCCUAAGAGGAGAGGUUCGGCCAAAAACCCAGAUGAAACCAGCUUAGCCACACGGCUGUCCAUCACAGACCACCAGCAGCAGCCAGCUGAGGUGUUCUCUCCAGUGAGUCUUGCUUCUGGGCCUCUGUACCACAGACACACUCUGUCCCAGUCAGAGUCCCAGCCCACUGAGACCGCAGACAGCCCCCACCCUGCCUCCCAACUCACAGAAUCUGCAUCCACAGUGACGCUACAGGCAGCCCCAGAACCCAGCAGCAUGCUGCUCAUUGGCUGGAGGGGCCCAGAGGAUCCCAGCUGGGCUGCAGAACAGGGGACUACUGGCACCAGUGGUAGCAGUGAGGCUCAGGACAGUACCCUGUCUGUCUAUGACAACCUGGACACACUACAACGCAUGGAGGAGGUGGCUGCGGAUGGUGGUGGGGGCAGCCCUGCUGGCCCAGUGGAGGUGGAGGUGGGCACGACCAGCAUGGUAGACACCAGAAGCUCCUGGUCUUCCUGUGAGAUUCUGUCCCUGGAAGACAAUGGGUGUGGUGUGGUCAGAACCAGCCCAGGACGGGGGUCCACUAGGUUCCCCUCCUUCAGGACUGACCCAGGAGACGAGGACCUCCCUCCUAACUCCCCAGCCUCCUCCUCUGCUCUCACUGAUGCCCCCCUGAGCACGGGCAGCUCGGAGGUCUUCCUGCCCUCUGCUCCUCCGGACCUCCGCGUCCCCCCGGCCUCCCAGGCCAUGCACUGGCUCUUGACUGGCCUCAGACAACAGAUGGCCAGGCAGAGGGCUGAGUUCGAGGCCAAGAUCCAGAGGUAAUAGAACUGUGAAUAAACCAUACCAAUGCAACAGCAGUCCUCGUCAACAGUCUAUAUACAUGCUACACGGAGUGUACAAAACAUUAUGAACACCUGCUCUUUCCAUGACAUCGACUGACCAGGUGAAAGCUAUGAUCCCUUAUUGAUGUCACUUGUUAAAUCCACUUCAAAUCAGUGUAGAUGAAGGGGAGGAGACAGGUUAAAGAAGGAUCUCUAAGCCUCAAGACAAUAAAGACAUUGAUUGUGUAUGUGUGCAAUUCAGAGGGUGAAUGGGCAAGAUAAAAGAUUAAGAUGCCUUUGAACAGGGUAUGGUAGUAUGUGCCCCGGGUUUGUGUGUGUCAAGAACGGCAACGCUGCUGGCUUUUCAAGCAACAGUUUCCUGUGUUUAUCAAGAAUGGUCCAUCACCAUCCAAAGGACAUCCAGCCAACUUGACACAACUGUGGGAAGCAUUGGAGACACCAUGGGCCAGCAUCCCUGUGAAAAGCUUUUGACACCUUAUAGAGUCCAUGCUCUGAUGAAUUCUACUCAAGAAUAGGAAGGUUGGAGAUGCGUAACGAGGCCCUCCAGGGGGAGGUGGUGGGACUGCGGACCAGCCUGGAGCAGCAGCGCCGCUGGCACAGUGUGGCCGAGAUCAAGAUCCGCAACGUGGAGCGUGCCAGGGCCGAUGCCGACCGCCGCA